AGGACGAACGCUGGCGGCGUGCUUAACGACAUGCAAGUCGAGCGGAAAGGCCCUUCGGGGUACUCGAGCGGCGAACGGGUGAGUAACACGUGAGCAACCUGCCCUUAGCUCUGGGAUAGCUCCGGGAAACCGGAAUUAAUACCGGAUAUGACCUAGGCCGACAUCGGCCGUGGUGGAAAGUUUUUCGGCUAGGGAUGGACUCGCGGCCUAUCAGCUAGUUGGUGGGGUAAUGGCCUACCAAGGCGACGACGGGUAGCCGGCCUGAGAGGGCGACCGGCCACACUGGGACUGAGACACGGCCCAGACUCCUACGGGAGGCAGCAGUGGGGAAUCUUGCGCAAUGGGCGAAAGCCUGACGCAGCGACGCCGCGUGGGGAUGACGGCCUUAGGGUUGUAAAGCUCUUUCAUCAGGGACGAUAAUGACGGUACCUGAAGAAGAAGCCCCGGCUAACUUCGCGCCAGCAGCCGC
RNAcentral lists this ribosomal RNA (469 nucleotides) under uncultured bacterium. Its description in RNAcentral is "SSU rRNA". It matches the Rfam family "Bacterial small subunit ribosomal RNA", at positions 26 to 518 of the family's 1533-position model. The record is from RNAcentral.